Molecule: ribosomal RNA, 255 nt
Filed under: Clostridioides sp. ZZV14-6044
Lineage: Bacteria; Bacillati; Bacillota; Clostridia; Peptostreptococcales; Peptostreptococcaceae
Description: partial 16S ribosomal RNA
Rfam family: Bacterial small subunit ribosomal RNA
Source: RNAcentral
CUAGCGUUAUCCGGAUUUACUGGGUGUAAAGGGAGCGCAGGCGGUACGGCAAGUCUGAUGUGAAAGCCCGGGGCUCAACCCCGGUACUGCAUUGGAAACUGUCGUACUAGAGUGUCGGAGGGGUAAGUGGAAUUCCUAGUGUAGCGGUGAAAUGCGUAGAUAUUAGGAGGAACACCAGUGGCGAAGGCGGCUUACUGGACGAUAACUGACGCUGAGGCUCGAAAGCGUGGGGAGCAAACAGGAUUAGAUACCCCU